This 83-nucleotide transfer RNA is filed under the name Yellowstone lake phycodnavirus 1. It matches the Rfam family "tRNA". From Rfam's summary of the family: Transfer RNA (tRNA) molecules are approximately 80 nucleotides in length. Their secondary structure includes four short double-helical elements and three loops (D, anti-codon, and T loops). Further hydrogen bonds mediate the characteristic L-shaped molecular structure. tRNAs have two regions of fundamental functional importance: the anti-codon, which is responsible for specific mRNA codon recognition, and the 3' end, to which the tRNAs corresponding amino acid is attached (by aminoacyl-tRNA synthetases). tRNAs cope with the degeneracy of the genetic code in two manners: having more than one tRNA (with a specific anti-codon) for a particular amino acid; and 'wobble' base-pairing, i.e. permitting non-standard base-pairing at the 3rd anti-codon position. Lineage: Varidnaviria; Bamfordvirae; Nucleocytoviricota; Megaviricetes; Algavirales; Phycodnaviridae. The record is from Rfam by way of RNAcentral.
AGUAGUGUAGGAGAGUGGUCAAAUCCGUUGCACUUAAGAUGCAAUACCUUCGCGUUUCGCGGGUUCGAAUCCCGCCGCUACUA